AGGGGGUCUUCCGCAAUGGGCGAAAGCCUGACGGAGCAACGCCGCGUGAGCGAAGAAGGCCUUCGGGUCGUAAAGCUCUGUUGUCAGGGAAGAACAAGUACCGGAGUAACUGCCGGUACCUUGACGGUACCUGGCCAGAAAGCCCCGGCUAACUACGUG
Molecule: ribosomal RNA, 159 nt
Filed under: Uncultured bacterium HZ_09D
Lineage: Bacteria
Description: partial 16S ribosomal RNA
Rfam family: Bacterial small subunit ribosomal RNA
Source: RNAcentral